UGACGAGGUCACGGGGGGCUGGCCCGCAGCCAGGCUGGGCUGCCAUGCUGCUCUGGCAGUGCCUGCCCGGGAGCCCAUCACAUCCUCGGGCACUCACAGGAUUUCUGCAGCUCUGGGCGGCUCCUCUGGCUGCUCUGCUCUGCUCUAGGAGCCCGUCCUCGGAGCUGCUGCAGCCUCCCGACAUAAACCCCGCUUUGUUGGGCCGAGAUGACCCGGCUGAGCCGCAUGAUCCGUCAGGUGACAGCUGGGCACCAGAGCGAGGAGAAUGAGCGGCGGGGCGAGGGCGCCGGCUGCUUUCCUGCCUCUGCACAGGCUCUGCUGCUCCUCGGGGGAAAAUGAGCGCCUGGCUCUGUCCUGUGCUGUGCAGCUUCACCGCGGUGUGUUUAGCAGGUAUUGCUUUUGGCCAGACAACCAGCACUGAGGUCCCAGUUACAUCAACCCCAGCACCUGCCAGUGCAACCAGCACUGAGGUUCCCAUUGCAUCCACCCCAGCACNCCAGUGCAACCAGCACUGAGGUUCCCAUUGCAUCCACCCCAGCACCUCCCAGUGCAACCACUGCUACGGCCUCUUCUCCCCCAACUGCUCCUGCAACACUCUCAGCUGGACUGACACCAACCACUGCAAACCCUGCUGCAUCCACAGCAGCUCCAUCUGCUGAUCCAAGCACAAAAACCCCUGCCCAGACUCUGCCCCCCACCACGGGGACCGUCCCCACCUCUGGCAGCAGGGCCACCUCUCAGGCAUCUUCAGCAGUGACGGCCACAUCCAGCAGUGCCCCAGUGUCCCCUCCAGGAGUGACCACAUCCCCUGGGCUCCCCAGCACCCCCCAGCCCUCCAACUGCAGCAGAGUGAAUGUGACAGCCUGUGCCCCCUGCCCCCCAGGGACUGUCCCCACCCAAGGCACCUUGAGCUGUUCGUGCUGCGCGGGGGGCUCGUGCAUUGGCCCCAGUGCCUGCAGCCCCUGCCCACCUGGCCACUACCAGCCCCAAAGUGGGCAACCAUCCUGCCUGCCCUGCUCACAGGGGUAUUACACCAGGCUAUUUUAGCUCCAAGCAAAAUGCAGCUUUUUGUCUGCCUUGCCAGCCAGGAUCAUUUUGCAAGUACAUUCAAAGGCCCCAGUGACAACAGAUGCAAGGCCUGCAGGACAGGAGAGUACCAGCUACAGCGGGGCAAGGAGAGCUGUGAGCUGUGCCCAGAAAACCACUACUGCCCUAGCCCAGAUGUGAAGCCAGUGAAGUGCCCUCCUGAUGCCUUCUGCCCCAGGGGCAGCGUGGAGCCCUCCUACUGCAUGGAGCUCUUCCUGUACAAGGCAGGGGAGUCCUGCCAGCUGACCCCUGCCACCGUCAUUGUCCUGGCCACCUUCUCAGCAGGUCAGUCUGGCUCCUCUCUGUCCUCUGCUAAAACCCCUCUGCAGCUGUGUUGAACCAAGCACUCUCUGGGUGGUGUAUUCUGUGUUUCUGGAAAGCAGGAUUUCUAAUGAAAGUCCUUCUGGCUGCUUUC
This 1501-nucleotide long non-coding RNA is filed under the name Lonchura striata (white-rumped munia). Its description in RNAcentral is "domestica (Bengalese finch) lncRNA (ENSLSDG00000017923.1)". Lineage: Eukaryota; Metazoa; Chordata; Aves; Passeriformes; Estrildidae. The record is from RNAcentral.